CAUCUGAGGAGCAGGAAGGGGAGAUUAUUUUUUUGUGUUGGUUGUAGUGAGGAAAAUAAGUGUCGGUUACACAAACCUUGCUAAAGCUUUCAUCCUGUUUGGGGUUUGAGGCGGCUUGAAGCUUCUCUAACAAAGCAAGAGUGGCUGGGGGAAGUAGGGCACAUGCUGCCUUUAAUCCAUUGAGCCUGACCUAGGCACUCGUUGAUGUCCCAAGGAAAUGUUCAAAGAAGCUCUACAAUUUGGUCUUUCCAGAAGCUGCUUACACAGUCAUUUGCUCCAGUUCAUUGCCCCAAGCCUGGCGCCACAUGCAGCAAUGCGAAAUCAUUCCAGAUUUAAAAAAAAAUAAAGUACUGAAGUUCUAACAAAGGCACACAAUUAUAAAAUAACUAGAAAGAAAAGAGAUGAUGAUGUGGAAAAUAGACACACGUCAGUGGUUCUAAAAGAAAGAAGAAAUAAAGGUAUAAAUGUGAUGGACCAGCAGUAGCCAUCUUGGAAACAUAAAGCAAGGAGCCAACAUGCUAAGAGAGAAUCCUCAACAAUACUACUUCCUCUACAGCCCGGAUGUAACCGCAACUGUCUUUAGCGUAAUAUACCCAGGCAUUAUGGGACUUUUCCCUGGGCCUCCAGAGAACGGAGGACUGGAACUCGGCCCCACCAGAAAUCAGACCAGACCAGAACCAGAAUUCGAGUUCUCUGCCAAGAGGAGGUGACCAGUCUCCAAUCCUCAGCUCAGGCUGAGGGCCCUUUGACCAGAUUCCUGCAUCCAGGACAGGGGGACUAGAAAAACAGGUCUGGCACAAAGAAGGUCCUUAAUAAUCAUUCAUUAAAGUUUUAUUUUGAAUCUCACUUCCAUUCUUUUUCUUUAACACCCUCUGCAGGAGGUAAUAAUGAAGACUAAAAUGUCAAGUAGGCAAUAAGAGGAGGCAAUGUAGGAACAGAGAAAAUCCACAAACCUGAUCAUUGGUUCUUGGAUUACUGACCAUUAACC
Long non-coding RNA from Bos taurus (domestic cattle), 988 nucleotides. NCBI's taxonomy places the organism in Eukaryota, Metazoa, Chordata, Mammalia, Artiodactyla, Bovidae. The record is from Ensembl.